This 462-nucleotide ribosomal RNA is filed under the name uncultured bacterium. RNAcentral describes it as "bacterial SSU rRNA". It matches the Rfam family "Bacterial small subunit ribosomal RNA", at positions 30 to 507 of the family's 1533-position model. The record is from RNAcentral.
AUUGAACGCUGGCGGCAUGCCUUACACAUGCAAGUCGAACGGUAACGGGCCUUCGGGUGCCGACGAGUGGCGAACGGGUGAGUAAUGUAUCGGAACGUACCUUUCAGUGGGGGAUAACGUAGCGAAAGUUACGCUAAUACCGCAUAUUCUGUGCGCAGGAAAGCAGGGGAUCGCAAGACCUUGCGCUGAUUGAGCGGCCGAUAUCAGAUUAGCUAGUUGGUGAGGUAAAGGCUCACCAAGGCGACGAUCUGUAGCGGGUCUGAGAGGAUGAUCCGCCACACUGGAACUGAGACACGGUCCAGACUCCUACGGGAGGCAGCAGUGGGGAAUAUUGCGCAAUGGGGGGAACCCUGACGCAGCGACGCCGCGUGAAGGAAGAAGGCCUUCGGGUUGUAAACUUCUUUGAUGAGGGACGAAGGAAGUGACGGUACCGUCAAAAACAAGACCACGGCUAACUACGUG